CGAGAAAGCCCGCAAGGGUGAGUACAGCGGCGCACGGGUGCGUAACACGUGAGUAAUCUGCCCUGAAGCCCGGAAUAACCUCCCGAAAGGGAAGCUAAUACCGGAUAAGCCCACGGGGUCCCCGGACCCCGAGAGAAAAGGCGGCCUCUGUAUACAAGCUGUCACUUCAGGAUGAGCUCGCGGCCCAUCAGCUAGUUGGCGGGGUAAUGGCCCACCAAGGCUACGACGGGUAGCUGGUCUGAGAGGACAAUCAGCCACACUGGAACUGAGACACGGUCCAGACUCCUACGGGAGGCGGCAGUGGGGAAUCUUGCGCAAUGGGCGAAAGCCUGACGCAGCAACGCCGCGUGUGUGAUGAAGGUCUUCGGAUCGUAAAGCACUGUCGCGAGGGACG
RNAcentral lists this ribosomal RNA (394 nucleotides) under uncultured Anaeromyxobacter sp. Its description in RNAcentral is "bacterial SSU rRNA". It matches the Rfam family "Bacterial small subunit ribosomal RNA", at positions 67 to 447 of the family's 1533-position model. Lineage: Bacteria; Pseudomonadati; Myxococcota; Myxococcia; Myxococcales; Anaeromyxobacteraceae. The record is from RNAcentral.